This 512-nucleotide ribosomal RNA is filed under the name uncultured haloarchaeon. RNAcentral's name for it is "bacterial SSU rRNA". It matches the Rfam family "Archaeal small subunit ribosomal RNA", at positions 1 to 513 of the family's 1478-position model. Lineage: Archaea; Methanobacteriati; Methanobacteriota; Halobacteria; Halobacteriales; Halobacteriaceae. The record is from RNAcentral.
AUUCCGGUUGAUCCUGCCGGAGGCCAUUGCUAUCGGAGUCCGAUUUAGCCAUGCUAGUCGUGCGAGUUCAGACUCGCGGCACCGAGCUCAGUAACACGUGGCCAAACUACCCUACAGAGACGGAUACCCUCGGGAAACUGAGGUUAACCCGUCAUACCGAUCUCAGGCUUGAAUCGCAGAGAUCACAAAACGCCCCGGCGCUGUAGGAUGUGGCUGCGGUUGAUUAGGUAGACGGUGGGGUAACGGCCCACCGUGCCCAUAAUCAGUACAGGUUGUGAGAGCAAGAACCUGGAGACGGAAUCUGAGACAAGAUUCCGGGCCCUACGGGGCGCAGCAGGCGCGAAACCUUUACACUGCACGCACGUGCGAUAAGGGGACUCCGAGUGCGAGGGCAUAUCGUCCUCGCUUUCGUGUACCGUAGGGUGGUACACCAACAAGGGCUGGGCAAGACCGGUGCCAGCCGCCGCGGUAAUACCGGCAGCCCGAGUGAUGGCCGAUCUUAUUGGGCCUAA